UACGUAGGCAGCAAGCGUUGUUCGGAGUUACUGGGCGUAAAGAGUGCGUAGGCGGUGCCCUAAGUCUGUUGUGAAAUCUCCCGGCUUAACUGGGAGGGUGCGGUGGAAACUGGGGUGCUUGAGUGUGGGAGAGGUUAGCGGAAUUCCUGGUGUAGCGGUGAAAUGCGUAGAUAUCAGGAGGAACACCGGUGGUGUAGACGGCUGACUGGACCACGACUGACGCUGAGGCACGAAAGCGUGGGUAGCAAACAGG
Molecule: ribosomal RNA, 253 nt
Filed under: uncultured bacterium
Lineage: Bacteria
Description: partial 16S ribosomal RNA
Rfam family: Bacterial small subunit ribosomal RNA
Source: RNAcentral